GUACCGUCAAGCCAACCAGGUAUUAACCAGCUGGCCCAUCGUUCCCGCCGACAGAGCUUUACGAUCCGAAGACCUUCAUCACUCACGCGGCGUUGCUGCGUCAGGCUUUUCGCCCAUUGCGCAAUAUUCCCCC
RNAcentral lists this ribosomal RNA (133 nucleotides) under uncultured bacterium. RNAcentral's name for it is "partial 16S ribosomal RNA". The record is from RNAcentral.